UUCCGGUUGAUCCUGCCGGACCCGACUGCUAUCAGAGUGAGAUUAAGCCAUGCGAGUUAACGUAGCAAUACGUGGCGCACGGCUCUGUAACACGUAGUCAACAUGCCCAGAGGACGUGGAUAACCUCGGGAAACUGAGUCUAAACCGCGAUAAGUGAGGAUUUCUGGAAUGGUUCCUGACUAAAAUCUAUAUGGCCUCUGGAUUGGACUGCGGCCGAUCAGGCUGUUGGUGAGGUAAUGGCCCACCAAACCUGUAACCGGUACGGGCUCUGAGAGGAGGAGCCCGGAGAUGGGCACUGAGACAAGGGCCCAGGCCCUAUGGGGCGCAGCAGGCGCGAAACCUCUGCAAUAGGCGAAAGCCUGACAGGGUUACUCUGAGUGACUUUCGCUAAGAAAGUCUUUUGGCACCUCUAAAAAGGGUGCAGAAUAAGGGGUGGGCAAGUCUGGUGUCAGCCGCCGCGGUAAAACCAGCACCCCGAGUGGUCGGGACGAUUAUUGGGCCUAAAGCAUCCGUAGCCGGUUCUGCAAGUCCCCCGUUAAAUCCAGCUGCUCAACAGAUGGGCCGCGGAGGAUACUACAGAGCUAGGAGGCAGGAGAGGCAAGCGGUACUCAGUGGGUAGGGGUAAAAUCCGUUGAUCCAUUGAAGACCACCAGUAGCGAAGGCGGCUUGCCAGAAUGCGCUCGACGGUGAGGGAUGAAAGCUGGGGGAGCAAACCGGAUUAGAUACCCGGGUAGUCCCAG
This 740-nucleotide ribosomal RNA is filed under the name uncultured archaeon. RNAcentral's name for it is "bacterial SSU rRNA". It matches the Rfam family "Archaeal small subunit ribosomal RNA", at positions 1 to 750 of the family's 1478-position model. The record is from RNAcentral.